Molecule: ribosomal RNA, 958 nt
Filed under: Fomes fomentarius
Lineage: Eukaryota; Fungi; Basidiomycota; Agaricomycetes; Polyporales; Polyporaceae
Description: LSU rRNA
Rfam family: Eukaryotic large subunit ribosomal RNA
Source: RNAcentral
GUUUUUCCCCGGGAAAUCUAGCAUAUCAAUAAGCGGAGGAAAAGAAACUAACAAGGAUUCCCCUAGUAACUGCGAGUGAAGCGGGAAAAGCUCAAAUUUAAAAUCUGGCGGUCUUUGGCCGUCCGAGUUGUAGUCUGGAGAAGUGCUUUCCGCGCUGGACCGUGUACAAGUCUCUUGGAACAGAGCGUCAUAGAGGGUGAGAAUCCCGUCUUUGACACGGACUACCAGUGCUUUGUGAUGCGCUCUCAAAGAGUCGAGUUGUUUGGGAAUGCAGCUCUAAAUGGGUGGUAAAUUCCAUCUAAAGCUAAAUAUUGGCGAGAGACCGAUAGCGAACAAGUACCGUGAGGGAAAGAUGAAAAGCACUUUGGAAAGAGAGUUAAACAGUACGUGAAAUUGCUGAAAGGGAAACGCUUGAAGUCAGUCGCGUUGGCCGGGACUCAGCCUUGCUUUUUGCUUGGUGCAUUUUCCGGUCGACGGGCCAGCAUCGAUUUUGACCGUCGGAAAAGGGCUAGGGAAAUGUGGCACCUUCGGGUGUGUUAUAGUCUCUAGUCGCAUGCGGCGGUUGGGAUCGAGGAACGCAGCGCGCCGCAAGGCAGGGGUUCGCCCACUUUCGCGCUUAGGAUGCUGGCAUAAUGGCUUUAAACGACCCGUCUUGAAACACGGACCAAGGAGUCUAACUUACCUGCGAGUGUUUGGGUGGAAAACCCGAGCGCGUAAUGAAAGUGAAAGUUGAGACCUCUGUCGUGGAGGGCAUCGACGCCCGGACCUGACGUUCUCUGACGGAUCCGCGGUAGAGCAUGUAUGUUGGGACCCGAAAGAUGGUGAACUAUGCCUGAAUAGGGUGAAGCCAGAGGAAACUCUGGUGGAGGCUCGUAGCGAUUCUGACGUGCAAAUCGAUCGUCAAAUUUGGGUAUAGGGGCGAAAGACUAAUCGAACCAUCUAGUAGCUGGUCCUGCGG